This 301-nucleotide ribosomal RNA is filed under the name uncultured bacterium. Its description in RNAcentral is "partial 16S ribosomal RNA". It matches the Rfam family "Bacterial small subunit ribosomal RNA", at positions 509 to 809 of the family's 1533-position model. The record is from RNAcentral.
CAGCAGCCACGGUAAUACGGAGGGGGCUAGCGUUGUUCGGAAUUACUGGGCGUAAGGCGCACGUAGGCGGCUUUGUAAGUUAGAGGUGAAAGCCUGGGGCUCAACUCCAGAAUUGCCUUUAAGACUGCAUCGCUUGAACGUCGGAGAGGUGAGUGGAAUUCCGAGUGUAGAGGUGAAAUUCGUAGAUAUUCGGAAGAACACCAGUGGCGAAGGCGACAUACUGGUCCAUUACUGACGCUGAGGCUCGAAAGCGUGGGGAGCAAACAGGAUUAGAUACCCGCGUAGUCCCUGUCUCUUAUAA